RNAcentral lists this ribosomal RNA (483 nucleotides) under uncultured bacterium. Its description in RNAcentral is "partial 16S ribosomal RNA". It matches the Rfam family "Bacterial small subunit ribosomal RNA", at positions 30 to 507 of the family's 1533-position model. The record is from RNAcentral.
AUUGAACGCUGGCGGCAGGCCUAACACAUGCAAGUCGAGCGGAUGAAGGGAGCUUGCUCCUGGAUUCAGCGGCGGACGGGUGAGUAAUGCCUAGGAAUCUGCCUGGUAGUGGGGGAUAACGUCCGGAAACGGGCGCUAAUACCGCAUACGUCCUGAGGGAGAAAGUGGGGGAUCUUCGGACCUCACGCUAUCAGAUGAGCCUAGGUCGGAUUAGCUAGUUGGUGGGGUAAAGGCCUACCAAGGCGACGAUCCGUAACUGGUCUGAGAGGAUGAUCAGUCACACUGGACCUGAGACACGGUCCAGACCCCUACGGGAGGCAGCAGGGGGGAAUAUUGGACAAUGGGCGAAAGCCUGACCCAGCCAGGCCGCGUGUGUGAAGAAGGUCUUCGGAUUGUAAAGCACUUUAAGUUGGGAGGAAGGGCAGUAAGUUAAUACCUUGCUGUUUUGACGUACCAACAGAAUAAGCACCGGCUAACUUCGUG